RNAcentral lists this ribosomal RNA (899 nucleotides) under uncultured bacterium. Its description in RNAcentral is "bacterial SSU rRNA". It matches the Rfam family "Bacterial small subunit ribosomal RNA", at positions 338 to 1250 of the family's 1533-position model. The record is from RNAcentral.
CCUACGGGAGGCAGCAGUGGGGAAUAUUGCACAAUGGACGAAAGUCUGACGCAGCAACGCCGCGUGAGGGAUGACGGCCUUCGGGUUGUAAACCUCUUUCAGCAGGGACGAAGCGAGAGUGACGGUACCUGCAGAAGAAGGACCGGCCAACUACGUGCCAGCAGCCGCGGUAAUACGUAGGGUCCGAGCGUUGUCCGGAAUUAUUGGGCGUAAAGGGCUCGUAGGCGGUUCGUCACGUCGGGAGUGAAAACUCGGAGCUUAACUCCGAGCCUGCUUCCGAUACGGGCAGACUAGAGGUAGGCAGGGGAGAGCGGAACUCCUGGUGUAGCGGUGGAAUGCGCGGAUAUCAGGAAGAACACCGGUGGCGAAGGCGGCUCUCUGGGCCUUACCUGACGCUGAGGAGCGAAAGCGUGGGUAGCGAACAGGAUUAGAUACCCUGGUAGUCCACGCCGUAAACGUUGGGCGCUAGGUGUGGGGGACAUUCCACGUCCUCCGUGCCGCAGCUAACGCAUUAAGCGCCCCGCCUGGGGAGUACGGCCGCAAGGCUAAAACUCAAAGGAAUUGACGGGGGCCCGCACAAGCGGCGGAGCAUGCGGAUUAAUUCGAUGCAAUGCGAAGAACCUUACCUGGGUUUGACAUAUAGGGAAAUCCUCCAGAGAUGGGGGGUCCGUAAGGGUCCUAUACAGGUGGUGCAUGGCUGUCGUCAGCUCGUGUCGCGAGAUGUUGGGUUAAGUCCCGCAACGAGCGCAACCCUCGUCCUAUGUUGCCAGCACGUUAUGGUGGGGACCCAUAGGAGACUGCCGGGGUCAACUCGGAGGAAGGUGGGGAUGACGUCAAGUCAUCAUGCCCCUUAUGUCCAGGGCUUCACGCAUGCUACAAUGGCCGGUACAAAGGGCUGC